RNAcentral lists this non-coding RNA (24 nucleotides) under Arabidopsis thaliana (thale cress). The record is from RNAcentral. Lineage: Eukaryota; Viridiplantae; Streptophyta; Magnoliopsida; Brassicales; Brassicaceae.
GGACGACCGACGUGCAUAAAUAUG